RNAcentral lists this ribosomal RNA (463 nucleotides) under uncultured bacterium. RNAcentral's name for it is "partial 16S ribosomal RNA". It matches the Rfam family "Bacterial small subunit ribosomal RNA", at positions 28 to 507 of the family's 1533-position model. The record is from RNAcentral.
GAUGAACGCUGACAGAAUGCUUAACACAUGCAAGUCGAUGGGGAGGUGGUGCUUGCACCAUGGUAACCAUGGCGGACGGGUGAGUAACGCGUAAGGAACUUGCCUGCGGGACUGAGAUAACAGCAGGAAACUGCUGAUAAUACCGGAUAAGGUCAUUAAGCUGCAUAGCUUAGUGAUGAAAGGAGACGCCUGCGGAGAGCCUUGCGUCCUAUUAGCUAGUUGGAGGGGUAACGGCCCACCAAGGCGAAGAUAGGUAGCCGGCCUGAGAGGGUGGACGGCCACAAGGGGACUGAGAUACGGCCCUUACUCCUACGGGAGGCAGCAGUGGGGAAUAUUGGACAAUGGGGGCAACCCUGAUCCAGCAAUUCUGUGUGCACGAAGACGGUUUUCGGAUUGUAAAGUGCUUUCAGCAGGGAAGAAGGAAGUGACGGUACCUGCAGAAGAAGCGACGGCUAAAUACGUG